UACGGAGGGGGCAAGCGUUAUUCGGAAUUAUUGGGCGUAAAGAGCUCGUAGGCGGUGUGUCGCGUCGGCCGUGAAAACCUGGGGCUUAACUCUGGGCGUGCGGUCGAUACGGGCAUCACUGGAGUUCGGCAGGGGAGACUGGAAUUCCUGGUGUAGCGGUGAAAUGCGCAGAUAUCAGGAGGAACACCGGUGGCGAAGGCGGCUCUCUGGGCCUUACCUGACGCUGAGGAGCGAAAGCGUGGGUAGCGAACAGG
RNAcentral lists this ribosomal RNA (254 nucleotides) under uncultured bacterium. Its description in RNAcentral is "partial 16S ribosomal RNA". It matches the Rfam family "Bacterial small subunit ribosomal RNA", at positions 524 to 776 of the family's 1533-position model. The record is from RNAcentral.